GAUUCGCUGAUACAUGAGCAGUCCUGCGCUAAAGGAAGUGAAUAAUUGUAUCAUUAUUGGCUAAUGCAAGCGCAGGACUGCGCUUUGUGUCUUGUGACCACUUGCAAUGAUAAGCACUCCAACUCGCGUUGCCUCGCGUUAUAGCCGGCUUGAUCAUUCCGAGUUUACUAUUAAGCGACCAAAGAUGGAUAUUUGUAUGGUUGCAUACGCAUUUACAACGAAAGCAAAGUAACAAGUCCGCCGUGGCCGAUUAAGGCUUGCCAAGCUUCCAGUUGAAAUUGGAAAAUAACGCAAGGACUCUUCUGGGAUACAAGGUAUUCAAAGAAAUAUCAUAAACUCCGAAAAUAAGGAAGGCAUUAUAUUGGAGUUAAUCGAUUAACUCUAAGGAGGAGAUACACGAAGGAAGUUCCAGUAUUUGAGAACACUGUUCUUAACGCGCCAAAACAAUCCCGCCAAAUUAGCACCCUUCAAGUAAGCUAAAAAUAAUACACAUAUCAAACACAAAAAGUAUCAAUUUGAGAAACUAUAAUAAUAAAAGAGGACCUGUGAAAAUAAUGUCGCUCCUUUUUAGCUUAUUGUAUUUAGUCAAAGGAAGGUGUUUUCGUUCAGACUUUCAGAGGUUUUGUUUUACCUUUUGUUUGAGAAUUAACAAAGGCUUUACCCCUGUUAACAUGUAAUAACCAGAUAUUUAUGCCAUACAGAGUAGUCUGGUUAUUGUAUGUCAACACCUCCUUGAUGUCACCGAGAUCUAUAACGUCUGAUUGGCUCAAACCGCGCAGAUCUGCGCCGUGCAAACCCCAAAUCAUAGCUCGAUAGCUGAUUGGUUUAACCUUGAGCAGAACUGCGUACGGGGUCAGGACCCUAAGAUGUUUCCACUUAAUAGGUUUUUUUUCCAGUUUAGAAUUGAUCACUGUUUAAUAUCUUUCUCAUCAUCAUCAACAUUGCAUUAAUUACACCCUUCAAAAGAUGUUAAUUUAGUUUUAAAGGAGGUUGUUCUGACAAUGUCAGGGUGAUGUUGGGUUUUGCGGUACUGGCCCUCUUUUGUACGAGAUUGCAGUAGAAGAGCAAAAAAACAUGGAGUGAUGCAGUAUUUCAAAACACUGCGAGAUGCGAGAUUUUGCUUUUUAAACGGCAGUAUUGAGAGGCAGAGGUGAAUAUCUUGGCAUAGAGAAGGUCAAUACAGUUGGUGUUGUCUGCCCGGGUGAAGUCAUACUUGUCGAGUAUUUCCAGAGUGAUGCAACAAAACCAGCUAUGGGAGCCCACAGGCUGAUGAGGUCAGUGGUGUUCAGGUGAUGACAUGCUCAGAUGACAGAAGUUUUCAAGAGAGAAGUAAGCCUGUAAAACCUUGAAAUGAAAUGAAGUUAGGAGGGUAAGAGGAUGGGAUGGGAGGGUAAGGUUACAAAAUCACAAGGUGCAAACAUUUGCACUAUCAAGAUUUCUAUAUUUGUUAGGCAUUUUACAGUAUUAGGAACAUUGCGCCAUUUCAAAUAGACCAUUCGAGCUAUAAGCUUGCGCACACAUUACUAUAUAAAUCUAACUCAACUACCAGCUUUUUUAAGCUUGCACCAAACGAAGGGUGCGCUGCAAGAGGGUAGUUGAGGUAGGUUUCCAUGUCAAGUGCGCGUGCAUGCUUAUAGCUGAAAUGGCCUUUGGCAUAUUUUAAGUUAAAGUUUAAAGUUUAUAUUGUUAAUAGCCAGCGAGGUUGAGACUAGGCUCUGGCCUCUCAAAGCACUAUUUCGACUUCUGCUAGGUUCAGAAUCUGGACUUGGUCGCUAAUUGGCCAAUUGACGCGUGGUCAAGGAAACCAAGAAAUUCUGACCGUUCUCUAUUGUAUUGUUCGCUUCAAGUUCAAAAGGUCAAAACUGUUUGCCAUAACAAACAUCUAAACGAACAAAGUAGAGGAGCAAUAGAUUAUUUUAAUCGCAGUUAAACAGUAAUAGUGCUUUGCAGUCCAAAUAAGUUACAAGAUUUACCAGUAUUAAAAAUGUAAAAUCUGUUCAAGAGGAGUCUUAACGAGUUCAUCAACAAGCGGCAAGAUGUCUUUUAUGUGCUGCCGACCGGAUUCGGAGAAUCGCUGAUUUUCCAGCUUAUUCCCGGCGUUUGCUCUCGCCUCAACGAUAGUGGAUUCAACUAUACCCACCUCCCCACCUCCUAUUCCCCACCUCCUAUGCGCCGAUUCUUGUCACUAGCUCUACAGUAAUGAGCCCAUGGGUUUUCAGAUGAAUAUCGUUGUUUUUACAUCUGGUUUUCAUGCGCUUUUCAUACUCGUGAAUUCGAUUCUCGAGCGAAGAGAUGUUUACAUCCCAGGUGAAACUGACACAUGCUAAUCACAAAACGUUAUCAUGGAAGUGAGGCAGAAGUCGAAAUAGUGCUUCGAGAGGCCAGAGCCUCGUCUCAACCUUGCUGGCCACUACAUAGAGAGACGUUUGAGGCUCUGAAACCAGGGUAUAUUCCAAUGUCAUUUUAUCUAAAUUAUAAAGAAAUAAAACCCCUGAAUUUUUUUCCAAUCUGUGCCAUGUUACAUUUCAAUAACUCCAAUAGCAACCUUAUUAAGGAUUUAGAACUCUUUUUAUUGUUAGAUUUUGUGUAAUCUUGUAUUUAAAAAAAGUUAUUUCCAUCAAAACACAUUUGAUAAGGAAAUGAAAGGCUCACAAAAUAUGCCAUGAAAGGGUCGUUCAAACAAAAAUCCUGUUAAAUAUAACAAACUUUAAUGUCUUUGCUGUUUAGAGGCCAUACUAUGCUCACCCAGAUAUGCAUCAAUUUUUUAGGCCGCUGGGUCAAUUAAACUUCUUUUAUUCACCUAUUUAUUUGAUACCAAUGAGGCAAUAGGGGUAGGAAACAAUCUACCAUACACAUACACAUACAGGGUAGAAAUGUUGUAGUUCAGCCUUUUAAUAGUGCAUAUCAUUACUUGGUUUAUUUUAGAUAAAAAUAUUUUCUCUAUAAAAAAUAUUUAAAAAAAACAAUGUCUCAAGAAACAAAAACUAUAUAGAUUACUAACAGUGUUCUAACACAUGGGAAAAUAGCAAAAUGUGUUUUCUAUGAAAAACAAGAACAUACACAAAUACUAAAAAAUGAGUGUGGAACACAAAUGGAAGUUUGCAUGCUACACCAGCAUUUUAACAACUUAUCGCUAUUAAAUUACUUUAAAUUAAUUAAAUAUUGUCAUGCAGGAAAAUACUGUGCUACACAUGAGCUUGUUGGCAUUCUAAAAAGUUAAAACAUUCAACAAAAGAAAAUGUCUACAAUAAAAAGCAAAUUGCUAGAUUGCUGAGCAGCCAAACACAAUUUAAUGUAAAGUCAACUGAUUUGCAGCUCAAAUCUACUUAUGAUAGACUAUUUUAUUUAGCAAAUUGUUGUUACUUUAGUUAGAAAUUAUAUUCGUAAAUGUGUGACGAAUAAAAUGUGUUUGAGAUUAAAGCCCUGUUAUGGGGAAGCAAAGGAUAUUUUUGGAGCAAUUUUUUUUAGUUUUUGAAUAUAUUACUAUCUCAUUUAGGGUCUUUGUUUUUUCUAAAAAAAUACUUUAGAAUUCCCAUUUUGGCACAUCUUUUUGUAUGUUUUCUAGACAUAAAGCACCUUGAAAUUGCUUAAAAACUUCUUCAAGUGUUGGGUGAUGAAACCUCAAAACAAUGUUGGGGCUGUUUACAGAGGGCUGACAAUGGUUCAUCUUAACAUUAUCAAUUAAAUGUAAAACUGCAAAAUAAAGUUUAGUUCAAGGUUGUUAUAUACGUAUAAAGCGAAUUAAUCACCGAUGGACACUGAUUAAUAUUUAUCAAGUUAAUUUAGACCAUCCAAUAGAGCAAGAAAGGUUAGAGUACUAAGCAGAUAGAGAAUUAGAAAAGAAGACUUGGGGCUGGUAAAGCAAGCUGAAGCUUCCCUGUGAAGAUUGCUAGACAAAGUGGCAACAAAGCUAGCAGCGGUUAUGAAUAUGAUUGAGCUAUUGCACAAAACAGAUGCUCUCAGAGUCUCAACAAUUAUUGGUAGAUGAAAUGGAUGUCAAAGCUAACUUUUUACUAGUGAAGAAAACAGAGUUAGAAGAGAUGCAUAGAAGAGAGAAAUAGAAACAACUCCAUUUCUUUCUUCUACACUUUCACCUCCUUCGCACUGAUUCUCUCACACACAGUAAGCACCUUUACUUCUGUCUCUACUUUCUUUUUCUAUCUCUUACUAACACCACCAUUACUCUUUUAUUUUAAAUUAUGGGAAAAUUCCAUGGCAAAAAAUAUUUCCCCUUUGCUGGAGAGAAAAUGCACCAUUGUUAAUUCUUCCCAUUUAAAAAAAAGGAAAUCAAGUGGACUUCAAAAAGAGCAUCUGUAAUUUGUGCUGAAGCUCAGACAGUGCGUAUGAAACUAUGGCAUGGCAUUGGUGUUUGUAUUGACGUGAGUAGUGAUGAUGAUAUUGAUACUAAUGAUGCUUUACCGUGGAACAUUGAUUGAUAUUUACCUGAUGUCUUGUCUUGGUAUUUGUCGGGAGACCAGCGAGAUUCAACAGCUAGUCCUCGAGUUUUGACUGAUUCUUCACUUGCAAGUAGUGAAAGCAUCACCUGAGGACAGAUAAUAAUUAGCAAGAACAACAAUGACAAAAAGAACAAAGGCAUUGGUAAUGCCGAAGGCGCCAUUGGAAGCCUAUCUAAUGGAGAUCCAAGUACUUGGGGCUUGGUCUGGUCUCCAGAGUUACUGCUGGAUGAUGACUGACCAGACGAACAGACAGUGGAGUUCCAUACCAAGGCACCUGGACAGCAUAUGGUUACUGCCUGGAUAAUUGCGCCUAGUGCAAGCACCAGGGAGUUAUGUUGUGAGCAGUUCUUGUACUGGGAAAGCACAGUUGAUGUAGAGGAUGAAGAUGUAACGGGUGUAAAAGAGCUGCAAGAAAAGCCAAGCAUAAACACAUAUGCUAACAA
Nematostella vectensis (starlet sea anemone) is the source of this 4900-nucleotide long non-coding RNA. RefSeq lists it as uncharacterized. The record is from RefSeq and is a predicted model, not a curated record. The transcript has 4 exons. Lineage: Eukaryota; Metazoa; Cnidaria; Anthozoa; Actiniaria; Edwardsiidae.